RNAcentral lists this transfer RNA (89 nucleotides) under Clostridiales bacterium. RNAcentral's name for it is "tRNA-OTHER". It matches the Rfam family "tRNA". From Rfam's summary of the family: Transfer RNA (tRNA) molecules are approximately 80 nucleotides in length. Their secondary structure includes four short double-helical elements and three loops (D, anti-codon, and T loops). Further hydrogen bonds mediate the characteristic L-shaped molecular structure. tRNAs have two regions of fundamental functional importance: the anti-codon, which is responsible for specific mRNA codon recognition, and the 3' end, to which the tRNAs corresponding amino acid is attached (by aminoacyl-tRNA synthetases). tRNAs cope with the degeneracy of the genetic code in two manners: having more than one tRNA (with a specific anti-codon) for a particular amino acid; and 'wobble' base-pairing, i.e. permitting non-standard base-pairing at the 3rd anti-codon position. Lineage: Bacteria; Bacillati; Bacillota; Clostridia; Eubacteriales. The record is from RNAcentral.
GGUGAGGAAUUGAAUUGGUUAACAGAAUUGGAAAUCGAGUAGGCGGGCUAAAACCUGUCUCGAGGGUUCGAAUCCCUCCCUCUCCGCCA